CGAUCCGGAGCCAACCACAAAAAAUACCAUCCCAGUUCGGAUUGCAGUCUGCAACUCGACUGCAUGAAGCUGGAAUCGCUAGUAAUCGCGGAUCAGAAUGCCGCGGUGAAUACGUUCCCGGGUCUUGUACACACCGCCCGUCACACCAUGGGAGUCGGAUAUGCCCGAAGUCAGUGACCCAACCGCAAGGAGGGAGCUGCCGAAGGUGGAGCCGAUGACUGGGGUGAAGUCGUAACAAGGUACC
RNAcentral lists this ribosomal RNA (244 nucleotides) under uncultured bacterium. RNAcentral describes it as "partial 16S ribosomal RNA". It matches the Rfam family "Bacterial small subunit ribosomal RNA", at positions 1258 to 1500 of the family's 1533-position model. The record is from RNAcentral.